AAGCAUGUAGCUCAGUGGAUAGAGCGCCAGUCUCCGAUACUGGGUGACAAGGGUUCGAUUCCCUUCAUGCUUA
Molecule: transfer RNA, 73 nt
Filed under: Climaconeis sp.
Lineage: Eukaryota; Bacillariophyta; Bacillariophyceae; Naviculales; Amphipleuraceae
Description: tRNA-Arg
Rfam family: tRNA
About the family: Transfer RNA (tRNA) molecules are approximately 80 nucleotides in length.
Source: RNAcentral